This 163-nucleotide ribosomal RNA is filed under the name uncultured bacterium. RNAcentral's name for it is "partial 16S rRNA". It matches the Rfam family "Bacterial small subunit ribosomal RNA", at positions 355 to 511 of the family's 1533-position model. The record is from RNAcentral.
UAGGGAAUCUUCCACAAUGGACGCAAGUCUGAUGGAGCAACGCCGCGUGAGUGAAGAAGGUCUUCGGAUCGUAAACUCUGUUGUUAGAGAAGAACAUGCAGGAGAGUAACUGUUCUUGUAUUGACGGUAUCUAACCAGAAAGCCACGGCUAACUACGCGCCAG